Brassica rapa (field mustard) is the source of this 3336-nucleotide long non-coding RNA. RefSeq lists it as uncharacterized. NCBI's taxonomy places the organism in Eukaryota, Viridiplantae, Streptophyta, Magnoliopsida, Brassicales, Brassicaceae. The record is from RefSeq and is a predicted model, not a curated record.
UAUGUUUUAGUUACAAAAUAGGUACAAAUCAUGUAUUUUUAAACCGAAGAACCGAUUGGGACCCGAAUCCGAAAGUACAAUGGGUUAUACCGGUUCUUUGAAGAUUUACUAACCCCGAUCCGAACCCGAUAUAACCCGAUCCGGUCCCGAACCGAACUUUUAUAUAACCCGAAUGGGGUUGAUUUUGAUAAACCCAAAAAACCAAAAUCCGAAUGGAUAUAACCGAAACCCGAUUGAGACCCCAAAUGCCCAUGCCUACUCUCCCUUCUCUGCGAGCGCGUCGCUUACGUCUGUGUGUUUGUCUCACCAAAUAGGUUGGGCUUUUGUGUGAUUAAUAUAGGCCUAAAUAUGAUUAGGUUAUUUUUCUUCUUGGUCGUUCUUCUUCUUCCCUGCCUCUUGACCGAAAGUCGACAACGUAACGUCCCAAGAAUCUUUGCUCUGAUAUUUAUUCUGAGUUUUCCUUUCAUUAAUCCUUUCAUUUAAUUCUCACUUAUCUCUCGUCUUUUCAACGUCAUUAUUUUCAAUCCUAUAAAUUGAGGACCAUAACUUUGCUCUAGCAAACAAUCCAUUCCUUGGAACACAGCCUACAAAAAUGAGGCAAUAUUAGCUUUGUUCAGACUUCAGACAACAAAUUACUUAGAAAGCUCAUAACACCUUCUCUUCCACAAUCCAAUGACAAAACCAAAGCUCUCCAAAUAACCCCUGAAAUCCAUUCAUGGCAUCAAAAGAUCUACGGGUAUUGCUUCUAUCUUUCUAUAAAUAUUUUAGUCAUUUGGAUUCUGUUUCGGCCAGUAUGAUAUAAUAUGAUAUUGAUUCUUUCUCGCCUUGAAAUUUAAGUUCAAGUUCAUGUUUCUUUAUAAAGGUCAACAUUAUUUUUUUCUUUUCUACAUUUCUGAUACUCCACCUAUAUUAUAGCGUAAGAGAAUCCCUAAAAUUGACGUUCCUAAAACUGAUACCAUGUAAUUAAAAAAUACUUCACCUAUAUUUGUUCUUAUGAGGUGUCGUUUGUGGAGCUAAUUUUUUUAAUUGUAUUUUGCAUUGCGGUUAAGUGUAUGUGAAGUAUUUUUUAGGACUAAUGAUUAGUAUGGUUGUAGCUUGAUCAAUGUGUUAUUGUAUUUCCUGCAGAUGAUGCUUUUCUCCAUCUGAUUCAGCCAAUGAAAUAAGCAUAUUGAUCACAAUAAUGCUCUUUAGCUUCUAUGACUAUGAGCAAACACUAAUGGUUGGUUUUUAAUAUGUCCACUUGAAUUUCUCUUAUCAGAUGCAUAAGACUGUGAUAGUCUUUGAAAGUGGUCAAACCACAUGAAUUUUAUGUUGAUUUUGAGAUGAUUUUGUACUUUACUGCAACCUCCAACCACCUCAGUUACGGUGCGCACUGCUUACUGCAAUGGGCGUCUCCUACAAGCCAAAGAACCUUGCCAUUGCUUCCAGAAGAUUCUUUGGCACUAACCCAAAUCUAGCGAGCUAGGCCAAGAUGGCUACAGCUACACAAGUUGUGCAAAUCCCUAAACGCAACAUGACCCAUGAAACCAAGCUUAACUACGACUUAAAAACCCGUUUGUGAUAUGCAGGUCAACUUAUAUCCCGAUCUGCAUAGGACAAAAGGAUGUGUCAUGUCCUUCACCGCCCGGUUUCUACCAACCCAGGAAGAAAGCGUAUGUUCUGUAUGUGAUAUUGCAGUCAUUGGCGUAGACGCAUCUGGUCUGCUCGCUUUGCUCUCCGUUUCAAGUCCGGUGAUCAAUUCAGAUUGGUAACUUUCAGAGUCUUAUGUGGUUUUCUACCUCUGUGGAUGAGGUUAAGUAAAAGUGACUUUAAAUAAAGAAAAAUAUUGUUUUGACAAAGUUAUACAUAUUCUGCAAUUUGUAAAUUGUGAAUGAUGUAGCUAGGACUAUAAUCUAUUAUUUUAUAUAUAGUCAUUGUAGGAGUUCGUUUAUAUAUUUUUUAACUUACUUCAAGUAUGUUUCCGGUAUGUGAAAACAUGAAAUACUUACUGUAUGAGUAUAAAAUUAAUAAAAACAGAGUUUUGAAAUGAAAUCAUUACAGCAGAGUAGAGGAAUGAGCAUACAUAUAAAUAACUGUAUACACACUUGGUAUUGCAUAAAUUAAAUAUACAAACAUCUUUUAUAAAGCGUAACUUAUAUAGAUCGUAGAUAUAAGAGUAUUACAUAACUACGCUAGACAGAGACCCAAAAGCUUGCCUAAAAGAAACAUAAUCCCCACAAAAUUUUGAAAAAACAAAUAAAAACAUAGAGGGCCAUCAGUGUGAUGUAAUACUUGACUUAUAGACUGCUAAAUGUUUACUUAAGAUUUGGUUUAUUUAUUUUUGGAACAUUUUUUAAUUGACCGCUAAAAUCAGUUACAAUCAAACCCAAUUAAUUAUAAUGUUUUAAAAGACAUUUUAAAAUGGAAAAGAUUGUAGACUUGGGACGUUUCCGGUUUUGGUUCUCAAUUCGUUCAUGUAACAAAGUAAUGAACCGGCUAAUAUCCGAGAUAAUUAAGAUCCCGUUUGGUUUUAUUUUUUUUUUGGUUAGUUCAGGUUAAAAAGUCGCAAAUUUUGAGUUUUCAGAUUAAGUAUUAGAUUUUCAGGUUCUCGGAUAAAAUUUUAGAUAAUUCAGAUAAUUUUAAAUUUUUGGAUAAAUUAAAAUUAUUCUGGUAACUCGGAUAUUUCAGAUUAUAAAUAGUAUUUGUGAAUUAUUUGAUUAUUUUAAAACUAAAUAUAGUUGAUAUUAAUUUAUAAGUUUAUAUAUUAUAUUUUAGAAAUUUGGGCACCGUACGAUUCCAGUUCCUUGGUUCUUGGAUAACUGAUAAAAUCCAAACCCAAAAUGAACUUUUUUUUUUGUUUGGUUAUGUUUUUUGGUUUCGAAUAAAUGUGCACGUACCUACUCAUGAUAUAUGUUCGUUUAAUUGGUUUUGUAUUUGAUUUCCGCUAUGAACCAAUUAUAUUCUAAUCAUGUUUAACAUAUUAAUAUAGAUGCAACAUAAUAUCCAUUGAAAAACCUAAAUAUCGAAUUUAUAUAAGAAUUAAGAUUCUAAUAAUAUAACUAUUUAAUAAUAGAAAAACCGGCGCGUAGCGCCAGAAAACCCCUAGUUGACAUAAUAUUUUUAACAAUUUCAGUUGGAGGCAUAUAUAGGCUUUUAACGAGGAAAUAAAGUAAAUCACUACAAAUGCUAGUUUUAUUGAGGGUUAAGAAUUAAGACUUAUUCUUGGACUCACCCGCUAAGGUUUAUUAACCAAUAGUAUUGUGUUAUUUUAUAUUCGAUAUUUAAAAAAAAAACAAAAUAUUGUCAAAUUAUAUUAUGUUUAAAAAUUAAAAGGUACAAAUAAAUAAAUAAAAAAUA